RNAcentral lists this ribosomal RNA (492 nucleotides) under uncultured bacterium. RNAcentral's name for it is "partial 16S ribosomal RNA". It matches the Rfam family "Bacterial small subunit ribosomal RNA", at positions 30 to 507 of the family's 1533-position model. The record is from RNAcentral.
AGUGAACGCUGGCGGCAGGCCUAACACAUGCCAGUCGAACGGCAGCACAGUAAGAGCUUGCUCUUAUGGGGGGCGAGUGGCGGACGGGAGAGGAAUACAUCGGAAUCUACUUUUUCGUGGGGGAUAACGUAGGGAAACUUACGCUAAUAUCGCAUAUGACCUACGGGUGAGAGCAGUGGAUCUUCGGACCUUGCGCGAUUGAAUGAGCCGAUGUCGGAUUAGCUAGUUGGGGGGGUAAAGGCCCACCAAGGCGACGAUACGUAGCUGGUCUGAGAGAAGGGUCGGCCGCACGGGAGCGGAGACGCGGUCCAGAGUCCUGCGGGAGGCCCCAGAGGGGAAUGGGAGACAGUGGGGGGAAGCCUGGUCCAGCCAUACCACGUGGGUGACAGAGGCCUUCGGGUUGUGAAGCCGUUUUGUGGGGAGAAAAAAGCUGCAGGUUAAUACCACGCGGUUGUGACGGUACCCAAUAAAUAAGCACCGGCUAACUACGUG